Molecule: ribosomal RNA, 200 nt
Filed under: uncultured bacterium
Lineage: Bacteria
Description: partial 16S ribosomal RNA
Rfam family: Bacterial small subunit ribosomal RNA
Source: RNAcentral
GAUGAACGCUGGCGGCGUGCCUAAUACAUGCAAGUCGAGCGAACUGAUUAGAAGCUUGCUUCUAUGACGUUAGCGGCGGACGGGUGAGUAACACGUGGGCAACCUGCCUGUAAGACUGGGAUAACUUCGGGAAACCGAAGCUAAUACCGGAUAGGAUCUUCUCCUUCAUGGGAGAUGAUUGAAAGAUGGUUUCGGCUAUC